RNAcentral lists this transfer RNA (76 nucleotides) under Methylococcales bacterium. Its description in RNAcentral is "tRNA-Leu". It matches the Rfam family "tRNA". From Rfam's summary of the family: Transfer RNA (tRNA) molecules are approximately 80 nucleotides in length. Their secondary structure includes four short double-helical elements and three loops (D, anti-codon, and T loops). The record is from RNAcentral. Lineage: Bacteria; Pseudomonadati; Pseudomonadota; Gammaproteobacteria; Methylococcales.
GCCUAGGUAGCUCAGUCGCUAGAGCAGAAGACUUAAAAUCCUCGUGUCGACAGUUCGAUUCCGCCCCUGGGCACCA